Molecule: small nuclear RNA, 104 nt
Filed under: Monodon monoceros (narwhal)
Lineage: Eukaryota; Metazoa; Chordata; Mammalia; Artiodactyla; Monodontidae
Source: RNAcentral
GUGCUUGCUUUGGGAGCACAUAUGCUAAAAUUGGAACGAUAGAGAGGUUAGCAUGGCCCCUGUGCAAGGAUGAUACGCAAGUUUGUGAAGCGUUCUAUAUUUUU